UACGAAGGUGGCAAGCGUUGUCCGGAAUUAUUGGGCGUAAAGCGCGCGCAGGUGGUUUCUUAAGUCUGAUGUGAAAGCCCACGGCUCAACCGUGGAGGGUCAUUGGAAACUGGGGAACUUGAGUGCAGAAGAGGAAAGUGGAAUUCCAAGUGUAGCGGUGAAAUGCGUAGAGAUUUGGAGGAACACCAGUGGCGAAGGCGACUUUCUGGUCUGUAACUGACACUGAGGCGCGAAAGCGUGGGGAGCGAACAGG
Molecule: ribosomal RNA, 253 nt
Filed under: uncultured bacterium
Lineage: Bacteria
Description: partial 16S ribosomal RNA
Rfam family: Bacterial small subunit ribosomal RNA
Source: RNAcentral